This 152-nucleotide unclassified non-coding RNA is filed under the name soil metagenome. RNAcentral's name for it is "partial contains small subunit ribosomal RNA, internal transcribed spacer 1, and 5.8S ribosomal RNA". The record is from RNAcentral.
UUUCCGUAGGUGAACCUGCGGAAGGAUCAGUGCCGAAUCGUUGGGGGGCUUGGUCGGGAGACUGGGGCCCUUUGAUGUCUAAUGCGUGUGUGGUGUGGCAGAUUAAUCAAGAGAUAAUGACAAAACUUUUAACAAUGGAUCUCUGGGCUCUU